CCCGGAGGCCGAGGCUGCCGCCCCUGCUGCCCCAGCAUGCCCCCCGGACGAGCCGUGUCCCCCCCUCCGGCCGCGGGGGGGGCUGGACUCGGGUUUCCACAGCGUGGACAGCGGCAGCAAGCGCUGGUCGGGGAACGAGUGCACGGAGGAGUCCUUGGAGCCUCGGCAGCA
Molecule: long non-coding RNA, 171 nt
Organism: Ficedula albicollis (Collared flycatcher)
Lineage: Eukaryota; Metazoa; Chordata; Aves; Passeriformes; Muscicapidae
Exons: 3
Source: RefSeq, a predicted model, not a curated record